RNAcentral lists this ribosomal RNA (254 nucleotides) under uncultured bacterium. Its description in RNAcentral is "partial 16S ribosomal RNA". It matches the Rfam family "Bacterial small subunit ribosomal RNA", at positions 524 to 776 of the family's 1533-position model. The record is from RNAcentral.
UACGUAGGGUGCGAGCGUUGUCCGGAAUUAUUGGGCGUAAAGAGCUCGUAGGCGGUCUGUCGCGUCGGUCGUGAAAACCUGCAGCUUAACUGUGGGCGUGCGGUCGAUACGGGCAUGACUGGAGUUCGGCAGGGGAGACUGGAAUUCCUGGUGUAGCGGUGAAAUGCGCAGAUAUCAGGAGGAACACCGGUGGCGAAGGCGACACGCUGGGCCGUACCUGACACUAAAACGCGACAGCAUGGGGAGCGAACGGG